GCCAGUGUGGCAUAGUGGUUUGACCAUUAGACUGUGAUUCUGGAAACCAGGGUUCGAUUCCCCACUCAGCUA
This is a non-coding RNA of Phrynosoma platyrhinos (Desert horned lizard), 72 nucleotides long. Lineage: Eukaryota; Metazoa; Chordata; Lepidosauria; Squamata; Phrynosomatidae. The record is from the annotation of a GenBank genome assembly.